GUCUAUCUCUUGCCGUAAAAAUGCCCUAAAAAAGCACUAUAGGUUGACCUCGGAUCAGGUAGGAAUACCCGCUGAACUUAAGCAUAUCAU
This 90-nucleotide ribosomal RNA is filed under the name Nemania plumbea. RNAcentral's name for it is "partial 28S ribosomal RNA". Lineage: Eukaryota; Fungi; Ascomycota; Sordariomycetes; Xylariales; Xylariaceae. The record is from RNAcentral.